AUGAGUAACACGAGCUGUGCAAUCUUAAGUUGGAACAUUAGAGGUCUGAACACGCCAGCCAGGCGUACGACCGUGUGCCAGAUAGCAGAUGCGCAGCGGGCAAGCAUUCUCUGCCUGCAGGAGACUAAGUUAGAAACUUGGAUGCCCAGCAUUGUUGCAGAACUGGGCGGCAGCAGAUUGGAAGGAUGCGCUGUCCUCUCAGCGAUCGGCACUAGAGGGGGAAUCACUGUUCUCUGGGACAAGAGCUUAGUCAGUUUUGUGACACAUGCAGUCGGAAAUUUCUCCAUCACCGGAAAAGUAUCUCUGAUCCAGGACAGAGUGGAAUUUUGGCUCACAACUGUCUAUGGGCCUGUAGAUGAUACACGAAAAGAUGACUUCCUUGCCGAAAUUGUUGGAAAUAUGCCCUAG
Molecule: ribosomal RNA, 408 nt
Filed under: Triticum aestivum (bread wheat)
Lineage: Eukaryota; Viridiplantae; Streptophyta; Magnoliopsida; Poales; Poaceae
Description: partial small subunit ribosomal RNA
Source: RNAcentral